This 293-nucleotide long non-coding RNA is filed under the name Brassica rapa (field mustard). RNAcentral describes it as "long non-coding RNA (BRAP_LNC000927)". Lineage: Eukaryota; Viridiplantae; Streptophyta; Magnoliopsida; Brassicales; Brassicaceae. The record is from RNAcentral.
ACGACGACGACGUCGGUCUCGGCGUAAGUGAUCAUAUCAGUCAUGUACCUCCUCGUCAUCUCGCGAGACACGAUGGACUCCUUGAUGGGGUCAAAAGUGAAGGCGUUCAGAUCGUAGCCAGCGGUGGCGCGGACGGAGAGGGAGCGCGGUUUGAGACCGACGGAGACAGGUGCGGCGGAGGAGAUGGAUGAGCCAUGGAAAUAGGAGUCGAAAAGGCGCUGAGGCUUGGUGGAAGAGAGGGAGAGAGUAGAGGUGAUGGACGCCAUAUUUGAGAGGUGUGUUUAUGUUUUGAG